This 2057-nucleotide ribosomal RNA is filed under the name Delftia tsuruhatensis. RNAcentral describes it as "partial 23S ribosomal RNA". It matches the Rfam family "Bacterial large subunit ribosomal RNA", at positions 872 to 2925 of the family's 2925-position model. Lineage: Bacteria; Pseudomonadati; Pseudomonadota; Betaproteobacteria; Burkholderiales; Comamonadaceae. The record is from RNAcentral.
AGGUAGUGCCUCAAGUAUUACCUGCGGGGGUAGAGCACUGUUUAGGCUAGGGGGUCAUGGCGACUUACCAAACCUAUGCAAACUCCGAAUACCGCAGAGUACAGCUUGGGAGACAGAGCACCGGGUGCUAACGUCCGGACUCAAGAGGGAAACAACCCAGACCGCCAGCUAAGGUCCCUAAAAUUGGCUAAGUGGGAAACGAAGUGGGAAGGCUAAAACAGUCAGGAUGUUGGCUUAGAAGCAGCCAUCAUUUAAAGAAAGCGUAAUAGCUCACUGAUCGAGUCGUCCUGCGCGGAAGAUGUAACGGGGCUAAGCCAGUUACCGAAGCUGCGGAUUUGCAAUUUAUUGCAAGUGGUAGGAGAGCGUUCUGUAAGCCUGUGAAGGUGCCUGGUAACGGGUGCUGGAGGUAUCAGAAGUGCGAAUGCUGACAUGAGUAGCGUUAAAGGGGGUGAAAAGCCCCCUCGCCGUAAGCGCAAGGUUUCCUACGCAACGUUCAUCGGCGUAGGGUGAGUCGGCCCCUAAGGCGAGGCAGAGAUGCGUAGCUGAUGGGAAACAGGUCAAUAUUCCUGUACCGAUGUGUAGUGCGAUGUGGGGACGGAGAAGGUUAGCUCAGCCAACUGUUGGAUAUGUUGGUUCAAGCCUGUAGUCGUGCCUGGUAGGCAAAUCCGCCGGGCUUAGAUGAGGGGUGAUAACGAGUCUGCUUGCAGACGAAGUGAGUGAUACCCUGCUUCCAGGAAAAGCCACUAAGCUUCAGCUACACACGACCGUACCGCAAACCGACACUGGUGCGCGAGAUGAGUAUUCUAAGGCGCUUGAGAGAACUCUGGAGAAGGAACUCGGCAAAUUGAUACCGUAACUUCGGGAGAAGGUAUGCCGCAAGUAGGUGAACUUGUACAAAGGGAGCCCAAAGCGGUUGCAAAAAAUCGGUGGCUGCGACUGUUUAAUAAAAACACAGCACUCUGCAAACACGAAAGUGGACGUAUAGGGUGUGACGCCUGCCCGGUGCUGGAAGAUUAAAUGAUGGGGUGCAAGCUCUUGAUUGAAGUCCCAGUAAACGGCGGCCGUAACUAUAACGGUCCUAAGGUAGCGAAAUUCCUUGUCGGGUAAGUUCCGACCUGCACGAAUGGCGUAACGAUGGCCACACUGUCUCCUCCAGAGACUCAGCGAAGUUGAAAUGUUUGUGAUGAUGCAAUCUCCCCGCGGAAAGACGGAAAGACCCCAUGAACCUUUACUGUAGCUUUGUAUUGGAUUUUGAACGGAUCUGUGUAGGAUAGGUGGGAGGCUUUGAAGUGAGGACGCUAGUUCUCAUGGAGCCGACGUUGAAAUACCACCCUGGUGCGUUUGAGGUUCUAACCCAGGUCCCUUAUCGGGAUCGGGGACAGUGCAUGGUAGGCAGUUUGACUGGGGCGGUCUCCUCCCAAAGCGUAACGGAGGAGUUCGAAGGUACGCUAGUUACGGUCGGACAUCGUGACGAUAGUGCAAUGGCAUAAGCGUGCUUAACUGCGAGACUGACAAGUCGAGCAGAUGCGAAAGCAGGACAUAGUGAUCCGGUGGUUCUGUAUGGAAGGGCCAUCGCUCAACGGAUAAAAGGUACUCUGGGGAUAACAGGCUGAUACCGCCCAAGAGUUCAUAUCGACGGCGGUGUUUGGCACCUCGAUGUCGGCUCAUCUCAUCCUGGGGCUGUAGUCGGUCCCAAGGGUAUGGCUGUUCGCCAUUUAAAGAGGUACGUGAGCUGGGUUUAAAACGUCGUGAGACAGUUUGGUCCCUAUCUUCCGUGGGCGCUGCAGAUUUGAGGAAGCCUGCUCCUAGUACGAGAGGACCGGAGUGGACACACCUCUGGUGUAUCGGUUGUCACGCCAGUGGCAUUGCCGAGUAGCUAAGUGUGGAAGAGAUAACCGCUGAAAGCAUCUAAGCGGGAAACUCGUUUCAAGAUGAGAUCUGCCGGGGCCUUGAGCCCCCUGAAGAGUCGUUCAAGACCAGGACGUUGAUAGGCUGGGUGUGGAAGCGCAGUAAUGCGUUAAGCUAACCAGUACUAAUUGCUCGUGAGGCUUGACCCU